UGCAAAUGAUGUGAAAUAUUUGCUAUCUGACUGUGAUGACAUUUCCACCAAGAUCACUGAUGCA
Poecilia latipinna (sailfin molly) is the source of this 64-nucleotide small nucleolar RNA. Its record names the gene SNORD24. It matches the Rfam family "Small nucleolar RNA SNORD24". From Rfam's summary of the family: U24 is a member of the C/D class of snoRNA which contain the C (UGAUGA) and D (CUGA) box motifs. C/D box snoRNAs have been shown to act as methylation guides for a number of RNA targets. U24 is encoded within an intron of the gene for ribosomal protein L7a in mammals, chicken and Fugu. The record is from Ensembl. Lineage: Eukaryota; Metazoa; Chordata; Actinopteri; Cyprinodontiformes; Poeciliidae.